RNAcentral lists this transfer RNA (69 nucleotides) under Ictidomys tridecemlineatus (thirteen-lined ground squirrel). RNAcentral's name for it is "Spermophilus tridecemlineatus (thirteen-lined ground squirrel) tRNA". It matches the Rfam family "tRNA". Rfam says of the family: Transfer RNA (tRNA) molecules are approximately 80 nucleotides in length. Lineage: Eukaryota; Metazoa; Chordata; Mammalia; Rodentia; Sciuridae. The record is from Rfam by way of RNAcentral.
GGGGUUGUGGCUUAGUGGUAGAGCGCUUGCCUAGCAUGCACAAGGCCCUGGGUUCAAUCCUCAGCACCA